GGCGAACGCUGGCGGCGUGCUUAACACAUGCAAGUCGAACGGAAAGGCCCCUUUGGGGGUACUCGAGUGGCGAACGGGUGAGUAACACGUGAGUAACCUGCCCUUGACUUCGGGAUAACUUCAGGAAACUGGGGCUAAUACCGGAUAGGAAUCCUUGCUGCAUGGUGGGGGUUGGAAAGCUUCGGCGGUUUUGGAUGGACUCGCGGCUUAUCAGCUUGUUGGUGGGGUAGUGGCUUACCAAGGCUUUGACGGGUAGCCGGCCUGAGAGGGCGACCGGCCACAUUGGGACUGAGAUACGGCCCAGACUCCUACGGGAGGCAGCAGUGGGGAAUAUUGCACAAUGGGCGGAAGCCUGAUGCAGCAACGCCGCGGGCGGGAUGACGGCCUUCGGGUUGUAAACCGCUUUCAGCAGGGGCGAAGCUUGUGGUGACGGUACCUGCAGAAGAAGCACCGGCUAACUACGUG
This 465-nucleotide ribosomal RNA is filed under the name uncultured bacterium. RNAcentral describes it as "partial 16S ribosomal RNA". It matches the Rfam family "Bacterial small subunit ribosomal RNA", at positions 28 to 507 of the family's 1533-position model. The record is from RNAcentral.